CUGACCCAGGAGACAGCUCUGCCUCGGAUCUCCUAGAGCUGAAGCGGCUUCAAGCAACCCUGUGACGUACGGGCCCUAUUCCUCCUGAAGGAAGAAAGAACUGAAGCUUAAGGCUUGCAGAGGUUGCUGUAAAUGUGAGAGGGGAGGCAUCUGGAAUUGCUCACAGCAAUGAAGUAUCUACUAUUUCCAUUUUCUUCCAACUUGACAGAUGGGCUGUUGAGUCUAGGUUGGGCUCAGUCACCAGCACAGACACACAUGUA
Molecule: long non-coding RNA, 260 nt
Organism: Rhinopithecus roxellana (golden snub-nosed monkey)
Lineage: Eukaryota; Metazoa; Chordata; Mammalia; Primates; Cercopithecidae
Exons: 3
Source: RefSeq, a predicted model, not a curated record